RNAcentral lists this ribosomal RNA (554 nucleotides) under uncultured Aspergillus. RNAcentral's name for it is "eukaryotic LSU rRNA". The stretch from base 174 to 327 matches the Rfam family "5.8S ribosomal RNA". The record is from RNAcentral. Lineage: Eukaryota; Fungi; Ascomycota; Eurotiomycetes; Eurotiales; Aspergillaceae.
UCCGUAGGUGAACCUGCGGAAGGAUCAUUACCGAGUGCGGGCCCUCUGGGUCCAACCUCCCAUCCGUGUCUAUCUGUACCCUGUUGCUUCGGCGUGGCCACGGCCCGCCAGAGACUAACAUUUGAACGCUGUCUGAAGUUUGCAGUCUGAGUUUUUAGUUAAACAAUCGUUAAAACUUUCAACAACGGAUCUCUUGGUUCCGGCAUCGAUGAAGAACGCAUCGAAAUGCGAUAAUUAAUGUGAAUUGCAGAAUUCAGUGAAUCAUCGAGUCUUUGAACGCACAUUGCGCCCCCUGGUAUUCCGGGGGGCAUGCCUGUCCGAGCGUCAUUGCUGCCCUCAAGCACGGCUUGUGUGUUGGGCUUCCGUCCCUGGCAACGGGGACGGGCCCAAAAGGCAGUGGCGGCACCAUGUCUGGUCCUCGAGCGUAUGGGGCUUUGUCACCCGCUCCCGUAGGUCCAGCUGGCAGCUAGCCUCGCAACCAAUCUUUUUAACCAGGUUGACCUCGGAUCAGGUAGGGAUACCCGCUGAACUUAAGCAUAUCAAUAAGCGGAGGA